UAUCUUGGUUGAAUAUGGUUUUGGAGGAUUUUGUUUCUUUUACAUCUUCAUUCUUUCACCUACCGUGACUCAGUAGCUGACCUUUGCAGCACUCAAAUUAAACUGCCUGAUUGUAGAGCUGACUCUUUGGAAAAAUAGGUAUUGCAAUGUCUAGGAUGGUGAAGAUGCUGUUUGCAAGGAAAGAAAUGAGAACACUAACGGUGGGUACUUGAUGUUGCUGGUAAAACCACCAUCCUCUACAAGCUCAAACUUGCACAAUUAACAAUUGCAGAAUCUGUUGGUGAUUGGUUCUUUUAUCGAAAUGUGACGAAGCAUAUUGGUUGUUAGUUUCCCUGCAAUCCAGUCUGCUAUCGUCACAGUGCUGCAUAGAGUUAAUCGAACUUGAGAACAGUUCCAGCAUUUGAAGGGGGUUAUACCCUGGUGGAAAUCUUCCUUUCCUGUCCAAGACCAUGAGUUGUCUUGUGUGGUAUAACAAAUCAGCUUAUAUUUGGUAUCAUAUUUUUGCAUAGAGAAGAAUAGGGAGAAAAAGAUUAUGUUAUUAUUAUUAUUUUUUUUGGGAAUACACCUUUGCUUUCUAUUAUGUGGCAACUAAUGUAUAGCUUUCUUUAAUCUUGAAGGAUCUAUGCUUUCUAUUUGUAUAAAAUUGAUUCUAUCGAUUGGGACUCCAAGUAUAACAUAAAGGUGUGUGUUUGCAGAUCUAUUAGCAUUUUGGUGAAAAUGGAGAGCUUCAAAGCCAUUUAGAAUCAGGAAGGAAUCAUUGAAGCUUCCUAUGGAGUCAUGAUUGCUUGGGUUGAUCUUGGAGUUGAAAUCCCACUCGAACUGAUUUUUUAGUCCAAGAGGAAAUAAUCCAAGUGUGUGGGCAGCUAAACAAUCAAGUAUUUGUAGCUUCUCAACUACUUGAAUCAAUGAUUGAAUACCCAACCGCAACACAUGCUGAGAUACCACUCUCAGUUGUACUAAUGAUACUGAUAACAGGGAAAGAUUAAGAAAAUAAAUUUCCUCUAUGAUGACUUCAAAGGCAGUGCCUUGAUGAAUAAUAAUCUCCUCUGCCCAUCAGAAAAGAAGCUUUUUCCUCACCUUGGUGUUGGAUUGGACAGUCUCUCUCUCUCUCUCUCUUUCUCUCUCUCUCUCUCAGAUCUAUCGCUGGUAACAUUUGAAGGGCGUUGGACCGUGUCCCGCAAAGAUAAUUAUAAUGGUCAGUGUUUGUAUCAGUUUGAAGAUCGAUGAUUUAGAUUUGUGGUUACUAUUUCUCGUAGAUCUGCCUAAUCCAUUUCUCUUCCAAUAUCCUCUAUUUUUGAUUCGAAUCAUUAUGGGUCUCCGUCCUCAAGCCAUAACCAAAUCUAAUCCAACACUUCGAGCUCGCAGUCAAAUCAAUCAUUGAAGAAAUUAUGCGAACAAGUAAGAGGAUUGGCAACAGAGUUUUCUGGGUUCUGUGGCUGCCUAAAGAUGAAUGGAUUGGGUCACAUUUCUGAAGAUGAGGCAUCUAGCAGCACUAGUUGUAAUGGGACUCAUACUUCCCCAUGGAUUGGUGGUCUCGAUUUGGUCGUAUUGAGAAUUAAAAGGCCACUUCUUUCGUGGUGGCUGUAGUGGGUGCUUAAGGAGUGAAUAUGUGCUUUUGGUGGAGGCAUUGGCGGUUUGUGAAGCAUUAGAAAGGUGUAUAUCUUGGAAGGAUGGAAGAGGAUAAUG
This is a long non-coding RNA of Rosa rugosa (rugosa rose), 1686 nucleotides long. RefSeq lists it as uncharacterized. Lineage: Eukaryota; Viridiplantae; Streptophyta; Magnoliopsida; Rosales; Rosaceae. The record is from RefSeq and is a predicted model, not a curated record. The transcript is spliced from 3 exons.